UCAGCAUAGAUCAAGAGGAGCGGGCAUUAAGCACGCCAAUCAGCAGCUCAAGAUGCCUUGCUUAACCACACCCCCAAGGGAAACAGCAGUGAUAAAAAUUUAGCAAUGAACGUAAGUUUGACUAAGUUAUGCUACUCUAGGGUUGGUAAAUUUCGUGCCAGCCACCGCGGUCAUACGAUUAACCCGAACUAAUAAACACCCGGCGUAAAGCGUGAUUAGAACUAAAGAUACAAAUAGAAUCAAAUAACAACUAAGCUGUAAAAAGUAAUAGUUGUAAACAAAAAUAAACAACGAAAGUGAUUCUACAACCUUCGAACUCACGAUAGCUAAGACCCAAACUGGGAUUAGAUACCCCACUAUGCUUAGCCCUAAACUUAAAUAAUUUCAUAACAAAAUUACUCGCCAG
Molecule: ribosomal RNA, 406 nt
Filed under: Sylvilagus aquaticus (swamp rabbit)
Lineage: Eukaryota; Metazoa; Chordata; Mammalia; Lagomorpha; Leporidae
Description: partial 12S ribosomal RNA
Source: RNAcentral